GCGUCACAAAGUCAGAAAUACUGAUGGGUUUGGUUCCACUCUGGAGAGGCAGGUUGCGGGGGAUGGAUCUGGAUACUGAUUCUGGCUGCAGGACCAGCAUGCCAGGGCCUUCAGAAUCCUCCAAUGGCUCAUGGAGAUGGACAGAUGAGAAAAUGAAAGUUCAAGGAGGUUAAGUAACGUGUUCAACACUCAACAAAUAAGGACUUUAAACCCUGGAAUGGCCAGUUCCAAAGCACCUGCUAAAACUCCCAGCUGGGAUCCCUCUGGGCCAGUUCUGUGCUCCAUCCUCAGCAUGAAAAAUUGAGAGAGGUUGCCUAGGUUCC
RNAcentral lists this long non-coding RNA (323 nucleotides) under Pan troglodytes (chimpanzee). RNAcentral describes it as "long non-coding RNA NONPTRT010427". Lineage: Eukaryota; Metazoa; Chordata; Mammalia; Primates; Hominidae. The record is from RNAcentral.